RNAcentral lists this ribosomal RNA (253 nucleotides) under uncultured bacterium. RNAcentral describes it as "partial 16S ribosomal RNA". It matches the Rfam family "Bacterial small subunit ribosomal RNA", at positions 524 to 776 of the family's 1533-position model. The record is from RNAcentral.
UACGUAGGGGGCAAGCGUUAUCCGGAUUUACUGGGUGUAAAGGGAGCGUAGACGGCGAUGCAAGUCAGAUGUGAAAACCCAUGGCUCAACCAUGGGAUUGCAUUUGAAACUGUGUUGCUAGAGUGCAGGAGAGGUAAGCGGAAUUCCUGGUGUAGCGGUGAAAUGCGUAGAUAUCAGGAGGAACACCGGUGGCGAAGGCGGCUUACUAGACUGUAACUGACGUUGAGGCUCGAAGGCGUGGGUAGCAAACAGG